GAACUUUGUUCAGGGUCUCAGACCAAGUCCUGUGUUCUGAUGGGCCACUGAGACCCUAGUUCGAACUAGCAAUAAAGACCUGUUUUGCUCUUGCAUCUCACAACUGAGCCUGGUGACUGCGGCUCCGCAUGGGGGACUCAAGGCAACAGGGCACAACAUUUGGGGGCUUGUCCGGGAUCCCCGUGAGGAGCAGCAACCCCAGCCACUGGGAUUUAUUCUGGCACCUAUCAGUACAAAACUGAAGUCAGAAAAUAUCUAGGAGGUGCUUAGGAGGGAAGGAAAAAGAACCUGGGGCCUGAAUCACAGUACAAAAGGAUCAUUUGCUCCUGAGCCCAAUGAACAUGCCCUGGGGUGAUGGAGAAAGAAGCUCC
Molecule: non-coding RNA, 371 nt
Organism: Manis javanica (Malayan pangolin)
Lineage: Eukaryota; Metazoa; Chordata; Mammalia; Pholidota; Manidae
Source: RefSeq, a predicted model, not a curated record